Molecule: ribosomal RNA, 253 nt
Filed under: uncultured bacterium
Lineage: Bacteria
Description: partial 16S ribosomal RNA
Rfam family: Bacterial small subunit ribosomal RNA
Source: RNAcentral
GACAGAGGGUGCAAACGUUGUUCGGAAUUAUUGGGCGUAAAGAGCUCGUAGGCGGUCUGUCGCGUCUGGUGUGAAAAUCCAGGGCUUAACCCUGGACCUGCAUCGGGUACGGGCAGACUAGAGUGCGGUAGGGGAGAUCGGAAUUCCUGGUGUAGCGGUGAAAUGCGCAGAUAUCAGGAGGAACACCGGUGGCGAAGGCGGAUCUCUGGGCCGUAACUGACGCUGAGGAGCGAAAGCAUGGGGAGCGAACAGG